UACGCCGCGAAAAAAUUCGUCGUUCGCUCCAAUUGUGUUCCUAGCAUAAAGUCUAUUUGACACUACAAGAAUCCAACGCAGAGUUGCAUUUUUCUAGUUUCUUUGAACUUGAGAAACCUUUCUAAUUGAGCUAUGUUCUAAAGUAUUUCUGCACCAUCGCCGUUGGCAUUUUGCCAAGUAUAAUCGAAUUUUUGUAUUUUUAGGCAAAAAUAUUUUCAAUUUGCUCUGCUGUGAAAUUUUAUAUCAAAAAGUGUAUACAUAUCGUAUAUGAAACAGGGAAUUAAAUCAAAGAGCAGAGAAUAUUACUAUCGAGUCAAAUCAGCUGGGGUUUGCUGCUACCUGUACCAAAGAUGUACACAGUGAUGCUCUCCAUUAUGAAUUUGUUUAAAUUAAUGCGGUUUAAACAAUAAAUCCGGAUUUGCAGCUACAUCAAAAGUUUGCACAGACCAUUUUAAUAAGGCAUAUGUGUUGCAGUCAGCAAGUAAAUUGAGACUUCUGCCAAUGGCUAUGCCAGAACUCGGACCACCGCAAUUGAGCCCAUAUAUGAAACCUGACGAUACACAAGUAAAUGUCCACGAUAAGAUUAUUAUUGACAAAACAGAAACGGAAUCAUGCACUCUUAUUGGAAAUCUAGCUCAAAAAACCAAAACAUCAGGAGACUCAAACCCUACCCCGCAUAAAGCUAUCUGAAGAAUGUUAGUUAUUCUAAUAGCUAGCUAGGGUUGAUACACCAAUUUAUACAACAUUUAUCUCAUAAAAGAAAACUUUGACAUGAGGUCCAACCAUGUCUCUGCAUUUCAUGAUGUAGCGAUAUCCGUCUCACUUCCAAAAUAGAUGGGAGAUAUCGGGUCACUCCUUUAAAAAGUUGCCCAUAAAUUCUAAAUUUUGAAAAAAGAAGUGAAUUAUUUACUUGAUAGAAAACAUGAUUCUAACAAAAUGCUUGUAAAAUUAAGAUUUUGAUCGCCACAAAUGGUAUAUUACAAAAAUUCCGUUCUUAAAUGUUUACAAAACUUGGCCAAAAUCUAGUAGUAUCUUUUCUAAACUGUACGUUAUCUACUUAAGGAACUUUUACAGUUUUUGCCGAUGUGCCCCGCUUCUGCGGGAAAACUGUUGCGUUCUAACUUUUUGUAGCCUGAUUUUUUCUUGGUUGUAUUUGUUUCAGUCCUGUAAUUUUUGCAGCGGAUAUUGAAAAAAUGUGCAGCUUUUAAGAUAUCUGCGGAAUGAAAAUAAAGAAUUAAAGAGAAAGCUGCUGGAAUCAAAGACUGCUUUAGAUCACAUUGAAAAAAUAUUUACAGAAGGUCAAAUCAAAAAAUUAAAAUCUAACACAAAUAUUAGAUGGAAAUGGAGGGAUAUAUCCAGUGUUAUUUGCCUGCACGCUGCAGGGCCACGAGCGUACAGACAUUUGUAUCAAAAGAGGCAUCCUCUUCCCAGCAUAUCCACGCUCAAUAACUGGUGUUGUCAAGGAAAGGAUUUUGUGGUCAUCGAUCAAGUUUAUGCGGCAAGUGAAUUAUAUGACAUUAGAUUAAAAAAUUUUUAUUCUAUCUUUCGAUGAAAUGAAAAUUGCUGAAACGUACGAAUACGACUUGCAUAAUGAUGUUGUUCGGAAACCGGCAAAUUAUGUGCAAGUCGUAAUGGCCAGUGGGAUAAAAAAGGGAUGGAAACAACCUGUAUUUUAUGGUUUUGAUUGCAAGAUGACGAGAGAACUUUUACUACAGAUAAUAUGUGUGCUAGAUAAUUCUGGUUAUCCUGUGGUCGCUGUGGUCUGCGACAUUUGACCAUCGAACCGAAAGUUGUGGCGAGAUUUCGACAUAACGCCAGAAAAAACCAUGGUUUUCUCAUCCCACAAAGUCAACGGAAAAAGUAUUUGCUUUUGCUGAUGUUCCCCAUCUUGUGAAGCUAAUCCGAAAUUACUACCUUGACACCGGACUCGUAAUUAAUAAUCGAUUUAUUACUUCAAGGACAAUAACAGAUUUGUUGAAGUUCACUAAUAAAAACGAUACAUCUAUAACAUAUAAAUUAAGCGAAGAACAUCUCUCUGUUAAGGGAGCAGGAAGGCAAAAAGUGAAAUUGGCGACUCAACUUUUCUCUAACACCACAGCAAAUGCUAUCAAAAGGUUUUAUUCCCUCGAGUUCGAAAUAUACAAUGCAAUAGAUACUGCUGAAUUUAUUCAAUGAGUUAAUGAUUGGUUCGGUAUCCACAACUCCUCUUGUAGUACUUUUGGUUUACCCGGGAAGGAACCUUUUGGCAAGUUUAUUGAAACCCAGAAAGGAAUAUUAGAAAGAAUGAACCAAGUUAUGAGUAGUCCAAUCGUGUCCAAUAAAACUCGACUUGAAAUCUUACAGAAAGGAAUUCUUAUUUCCAAUAAUGCUUUGAUACAGUUGUACGACCACUUACAGAAGUAAAACGUGGAGUAUCUAUUGACAAGGCGCCUGAACUAAGACGUUCUUGAACAUUUUUUUGGUUCAAUGAGGAGUGAAGGGGCCUUAACGACCAUUCAACUCCUCAGGAUUUCAAACCAUUCAACUUCUCAGGAUUUCAGAAAAUACAUUUUGGCGCGCAAUACUGAAUUACUUUCUGGAACGGGCAACGUCGAUGUUGAUGAAACAGAAUGGAUUGAUUUCAGUCAAAAUGGGCGUGAGGAUCAAUCAUUCCCCGAAAUAUCGCAACCGUCGCAAGAUGAUGGCUUUGAAAAUUUGAUGGCGGUUCAAAACGCAGAGAUUUAUUUCAAUAUUUGAAAUAUAUCUUUAUAAUAAGAAUAAGUAAUUACUUUGAACCAUUGCUUAUAUUCUUGUAAAACUAUUUACAUCGAGGAUCUGUUUCUGUAUGACGAUGCGAAAGAAACUGGGAAUAAAAACAACAAUUCCGUGAGAAAGUUUAAAGAAAACAGAAGUAAAACAAAUUUUCUUUGUUUCAAUGGGAAAGACAAACUUAAUAUACCCUUCACAGUAUGGUGAAUGGUACAAAACUAGUUACCUUUAAAUGGGGUUUUGCGAUAUAGAGAUAAAGGUCAUCUUCCAAAACUCUACUAACUAAUGCAGGUGUUCGUGUAUACAAAAUGCGCAUUGUUUUUAAUGAUGUGGGACUUCAGCAAAAACAAAUUGGUGAAUCUGCAUUCAGACCUUCAGAGGCUACUUCUGGUACAGCAAACAUGCCAAUAAAAUUUAAAGAAAAUAUCCAUAUAUGCGAGUUGCUUUUAUUGUAUUUUACAUACACAAACAUUUCCAAAAUAAACAAAGCAGAAAUUCGCUGCAAUGUUAUUCUGUCAAGGAAACCUAGUGAACCCUACAACAUACCAGACGUGCUGUUUUAAGUUUCUAUUAAAAAUUAUUUAAAAAAAGUUAGAAUCAUAAGAAAAAGACCUCCAAAUUGCAUAAUUUUGCAAUGGAGGAUCCCGAUUCUCUUCCCCCCGACAUGGAGUUUGAUGUCACGGAAGAGAUCGCAUCAACCUCCAAACAAUUGCCGGCUUUUGCAAACUCCACUAGUAUGCAAGAAAACAAGACAAAACAGAACGAACGAAAGAGACUGCGCCUAGAAAGUGCAAUAUCAUCAAUAAAUGUAUCGGAUCUGGCUGAGAAAUUAACCAACUACAACCCGCAGGACCAAAACAAAUUUGGCAUUUUGGGGGCAUUGGCAGACAUUGACAUUUCCACACCUGUCAGCAAUCCAACCACAACCGAAAUCAAUGUUCCUCCAAAACCAAAAAUCUCCUGGUGCCCACCGAUUUUUACAUACAAUGUCAACAUAAACUCUCUAGUAGAGUCAUUACGUGCCGCAUCCCCACAGUGCAAUUUUAAAAUUAAAAAUAUAAAUAAAAACAAAAGUAAGUUGUACUUUGCAGAUUCUAAAGUUCAUGCCUCAAUGAUGGAUCUUUUAAAGUCAAAAAAUAUUCAGUCAUACUCUUUCACACCCAAGGAUCAAAAGCAGACAUCCCUGAUAAUCCGAAACCUCUUCUCUCUAACUGAACCAGAGGCAAUUAAAAACGAACUAGAUCAGUUAGUUCCUGAAACAGUGGCCAGUGUCUCAAAAUUUAGAACACCGACAUCAAUUAAAAACAACACUGAUACGGGUCUUUUCUUAGUUUGCUUAUUGCCAGGAAAGAAGUUUGGCGAAAUUUCACAUAUUCGCCAACUGCAAUACCAAUCCAUAAUCUGGGAGAAACCCAAAAAAAGGGAUACCUUCGUCCAAUGCCGAAGAUGUCAAGGGCACGGACAUAUAGCACGUAAUUGCAAUUGCUCUUACAGAUGCGUUAAAUGCAAAGACAAACAUCUUCCUGGAGAAUGUAAAAGGUCCAAGACAGACACCUCGGAACCUUACUGUGUUAAUUGCGAAAAAACAGGUCAUCCCGCCAACUGGCGAGGAUGUCCCUCCUAUAAAAAAUAUGCCUCCGACAGGAAAAAAAAGAUGGCAGUAGCAUUAGAAAACAGAGCUCUAGCUCAAAACAAUGUAUCUAAAGCAUUAAACACAUCCAAAUAUUCACCGGAAAAAACUUUUUCAAACUUAUUUAAAAGUGUCACAUCUAUUCCCCAAGAUUCAACCAAAAAACCACAAAUAAUUCAAGACUUCCUUAAGCUAGCAAAUCUUUUUUUGGAACCUGAAGAGCUGGCCUUAGAGCAAGAAAUUCAAAUAUUCCUAACAGAAUAUAAAAACUUGUCAAAAACCGAAGCAAAAAAACAAUUUUUAAUGCUUCUUAAUAAAGUUAAAUUGAAUUAUGGACCAUAGAUCACUAAAAUUUCUUACUUUCAAUGUACGAUCCCUUGUGGAUAGAAGUCGACAAAUAGAAUUAAAAAACACACUACUUCACAAUAACAUCGAUAUAGCAUUCAUCCAGGAAUGUCAUCUCAGAUCCAACAUGCGUGUCAAAAUAAGUGGAUACACUUUUGUCUACGAUAAUUCUCCCACUGGAGUUGCAAUUUUCAUCAAGGACUCAAUUCAAUUCAAGAGAGUUUCCGUUCCGGCCACUGGCAUUAAUACGACACUUAUAGAAAUCUCAUCUAACAAUUCAACAAAAAAAUACCUUCUGGGAUCGGUAUAUAUCCCGUGCAGUUAUCCUGUACAGCGCCUCGAUCUUGAUCUGAAUACAUUACUUCAGUUAUCUAGCAACUUUGAUGGUUUCAUCUUUGGAGGGGACUUAAACUCCAAAAGUCCAACAUGGGGCGACUCCUACGAAAACUCAAAUGGAAGAGUCUUGAGGUCCUGGUUAUCAGAUAAUUCCAUGGAUGUCAUCAGGUUAUGCGAUACUAGCCCAUCGUAUCCAAGUGGUACCUCUUACCUGGAUCAUUUCCUACUCAGCAACCAUUUAAUCAACAGUAGAAAUCCUAACUAUACUAUAUCCACCAGACCCACUUUCUCGGAUCAUUUCCCCAUUAAGUUGGACCUGAAACUUGAUCAUUUAAACAUCGAUUUGACGCCUCCGCAAUUCUUCAUAUCUUAUAAAAACACUAAUUGGCAUAACUUUCGUCAGGACAUAGACGUUAUCUCACGUCAAAUAAUGCCUUCCAUCAAUAGGAACCUGACCAAUGACGAGAUUGAUACCACUCUAAACGGUUUUAAGAGUCAUUUUUCCAACAUCCAUGAAAUACACUCCGAAAAAUUUAAAAUAGAGGAUAGGAGCCUACCAUACUCGGACAAAAUCAAGAAAAUCCUACAAAUUAAACAUCAAUGGCAACGAAAUCUCAAAAAAAUCUUCCAUCGUUCAGGCAACAGGACAAGCCGUGAGUACUCCAUUCUUUCUAAUCAAAUUCAGCUCUUGAAAAUAAUAAUAAAGGAGCUAGUCAAAAUAGAAACAGCCCAAAUAUUUAAUGAUAGAUUGCAAAAAAUCAAACCUAGUCCGUCCGCCUUUAAAGAAAUAUACCGAUUUACAGGAAGCAAUAAAUCAUCUUUCUGCCGUCAGAUCAACCAUGCUAACAACACUAUUACAAACAGUAACGAGAUUGCAGAUCAUUUUAAGAAUUUUUAUUCCACCAUAUUUGAAGACUCAACAACACUUCCUGCCUCAGAUGAGCAUAAUUCUACGCUAUUAACAUGUAUCAACUCAACACCAACUCAUAUAUAUUCAUUCGAUGAAAAUUUUAAUUCUCUCCACAAUCCAGACACAUACCACUUUACUUCAUCUGAAAAUAUAAAAAACAUUAUUUUCAACAUCAAUUCAAAAAAAUCUAGCGGCCCUGAUGAAAUCUCAAACUUUAUAAUCAAGAGAUUUCCAGAAUCCACAAUUAAUUUACUCACGUGCCUUUUCAAUAAUUGCAUUAACAACGGAUACUUUCCCAAACAAUGGAAAGUUGCCAAAAUCAUACCCAUCAAGAAGAAAACAACAAAUUGCAACGUUGAUGACUUUCGCCCAAUUUCCCUUUUGUCAAAUAUUGGUAAAAUACUGGAAGUAGUGCUGAAAGAAAAAUUAAACAAUGAAUUAACUAUUGAUCCAAUAUCAAACUACCAAUUUGGCUUCAAAUCUGGACAUUCCACUCAGCACGCACUUCUCAAGUUUCAUAACGACGUAACAACAAACUUAAGGAGUCAAUCAUGCACAGUUGCAAUAUCAUUGGAUAUACAAAAAGCGUUUGACUCAGUGUCUCACCUCGGUAUUUUGUUCAAAUUAAUUCAACUUGGAGUAGAUCCAUUUAUUAUAAAAAUGCUAAAGAGUUUCUUCAAUUCUCGUAAAUUUAUGGUUCAGAUCCGGAAUACAUCAUCAUCCUUGGGCCAUGUAAAUAGCGGCGUUCCUCAAGGUAGUAUCUUGGCACCAUACCUUUUUAACCUGUUUCUUCAUGACUUUCCACACAUGUAUCAACAUUCCAAAGCAAUCCUGUAUGCAGAUGAUUGCAUAAUCUACGCACAUAAUCCUUCGCCAGCCAUUGCCCUGAGUGUUGCUUCAGAACACCUACACAUAAUCAACAACUUCUAUAAACAAUGGGGUAUUAAAAUAAAUGCCGCUAAAUCGGUAGCCAUAUGCAUACGUAAUGCGUCGGGCAAAUGCCCACGAAAAGUUGUACCAGAAAGCAAGCAAUUAAAAUUGUCUUUAGAAGGAGUAGAAAUUCCUUUCAGCACAUCCUUAAAGUACCUUGGUGUAACAUUCAAUCAUCUCUUAAAAUUCAACGACCAUGCUCGUUCCAUCAUGCAAAAAGUUAAAG
This is a long non-coding RNA of Musca domestica (house fly), 7125 nucleotides long. RefSeq lists it as uncharacterized. The transcript is spliced from 8 exons. The record is from RefSeq and is a predicted model, not a curated record. Lineage: Eukaryota; Metazoa; Arthropoda; Insecta; Diptera; Muscidae.